GCUGGGCAUUGUGGCGGGCGCCUGUGGUCCCAGCUACUUGGGAGGCGGAGGCAGGAGACUCGCUUGAGCCCAGGAGUUGGAGGUUGCUGUGAGCUGUGAUGCCACAGCACUCUACCCAGGGGGACAGCUUGAGACUCUGUCUCAAAAAAAUAUAUAUAUAUUUAUGCUAUACUUUUUUUUUUUUUCUGAGACAGAGCCUCAAGCUAUUCCCCUGGGUAGAGUGCUGUGGCAUCACAGCUCACAGCAACCUCCAACUCCUGGGCUCAAGCGAGUCUCCUGCCUCAG
RNAcentral lists this signal recognition particle RNA (285 nucleotides) under Otolemur garnettii (small-eared galago). RNAcentral's name for it is "Metazoan signal recognition particle RNA". It matches the Rfam family "Metazoan signal recognition particle RNA". From Rfam's summary of the family: The signal recognition particle (SRP) is a universally conserved ribonucleoprotein. It is involved in the co-translational targeting of proteins to membranes. The eukaryotic SRP consists of a 300-nucleotide 7S RNA and six proteins: SRPs 72, 68, 54, 19, 14, and 9. Lineage: Eukaryota; Metazoa; Chordata; Mammalia; Primates; Galagidae. The record is from Rfam by way of RNAcentral.